This 75-nucleotide transfer RNA is filed under the name Candidatus Omnitrophota bacterium. RNAcentral's name for it is "tRNA-Trp". It matches the Rfam family "tRNA". From Rfam's summary of the family: Transfer RNA (tRNA) molecules are approximately 80 nucleotides in length. Their secondary structure includes four short double-helical elements and three loops (D, anti-codon, and T loops). Lineage: Bacteria; Pseudomonadati; Candidatus Omnitrophota. The record is from RNAcentral.
AGGCCUGUAGCUCUAACGGCUGAGAGCGGCGGACUCCAAAUCCGAAGGUUGGAGGUUCAAAUCCUCCCAGGCCUG